Molecule: small nuclear RNA, 111 nt
Organism: Acomys russatus (golden spiny mouse)
Lineage: Eukaryota; Metazoa; Chordata; Mammalia; Rodentia; Muridae
Source: RefSeq, a predicted model, not a curated record
UUAAUUAAAAUUUGACCUAUUAGAAUAUCUAAAACUGGAAUCACACAGGGAACAUUAGCAUGGGCCCUACACAAGGAUGAUAUGCAAAUUCACAAAACCCCCUCUCCCUUA